CAGUAGCCGCGGUAAUACGUAGGGUGCAAGCGUUAAUCGGAAUUACUGGGCGUAAAGCGCACGCAGGCGGUCUGUCAAGUCAGAUGUGAAAUCCCCGGGCUUAACCUGGGAACUGCAUUUGAAACUGGCAGGCUAGAGUCUUGUAGAGGGGGGUAGAAUUCCAGGUGUAGCGGUAAAAUGCGUAGAGAUCUGGAGGAAUACCGGUGGCGAAGGCGGCCCCCUGGACAAAGACUGACGCUCAGGUGCGAAAGCGUGGGGAGCAAACAGGAUUAGAUACCCCGGUAGUCCCUGUCUCUUAUAU
RNAcentral lists this ribosomal RNA (301 nucleotides) under uncultured bacterium. RNAcentral describes it as "partial 16S ribosomal RNA". It matches the Rfam family "Bacterial small subunit ribosomal RNA", at positions 509 to 809 of the family's 1533-position model. The record is from RNAcentral.